Molecule: long non-coding RNA, 598 nt
Organism: Oncorhynchus tshawytscha (Chinook salmon)
Lineage: Eukaryota; Metazoa; Chordata; Actinopteri; Salmoniformes; Salmonidae
Source: Ensembl
GGAAAUGACAGUGUGCAUUUCUGUGACAAUAGACAAGAACAGCUCAAGGACAGAACUACAUACAUUUAAAUACACAGAAUAAAUGCAUUGAAAGCGUUUCUGUGAAGCUUUGUGAUCGACAAGGACAAGUUUGAUGUCGGACAACAAUAGAAUGUUCAUGAUUUAAUGGGCCAAAGAUGGUAAGGUGAAAGGCACCGUUUAUACUGAGGGGUUGGUGGGACUUCUAAAUACAUUACCACUAUCAUGACUAGGUCGGUUGGCAGGACUUCUAAAUACAUUACCACAAUCAUGACUAGGUCGGUUGGCAGGACUUCUAAAUACAUUACCACAAUCAUGACUAGGUCGGUUGGCAGGACUUCUAAAUACAUUACCACAAUCAUGACUAGGUUGGUUGGCAGGACUUCUAAAUACAUUACCACAAUCAUGACUAGGUCGGUUGGUGGAAAUAAAAGUACAAGGCUUAGUUACCGUUCAAAUAUUAAGAAAAGGCGGCAAAGUUGGCGCAUGGUAAAAUUGAUGGAAAAGCGUCUUGGUAUGAAAGGUAUCUUAGUGUGUUUGUGAGUGUGUGUGUGUGUGUGUCUGCGUGUUUAUCUUUGGC